Molecule: ribosomal RNA, 465 nt
Filed under: Vreelandella stevensii
Lineage: Bacteria; Pseudomonadati; Pseudomonadota; Gammaproteobacteria; Oceanospirillales; Halomonadaceae
Description: partial 16S ribosomal RNA
Rfam family: Bacterial small subunit ribosomal RNA
Source: RNAcentral
CCUACGGGGGGCAGCAGUGGGGAAUAUUGGACAAUGGGGGCAACCCUGAUCCAGCCAUGCCGCGUGUGUGAAGAAGGCCCUCGGGUUGUAAAGCACUUUCAGUGAGGAAGAACGCCUGGUGGUUAAUACCCAUCAGGAAAGACAUCACUCACAGAAGAAGCACCGGCUAACUCCGUGCCAGCAGCCGCGGUAAUACGGAGGGUGCGAGCGUUAAUCGGAAUUACUGGGCGUAAAGCGCGCGUAGGUGGCUUGAUAAGCCGGUUGUGAAAGCCCCGGGCUCAACCUGGGAACGGCAUCCGGAACUGUCAAGCUAGAGUGCAGGAGAGGAAGGUAGAAUUCCCGGUGUAGCGGUGAAAUGCGUAGAGCUCGGGAGGAAUACCAGUGGCGAAGGCGGCCUUCUGGACUGACACUGACACUGAGGUGCGAAAGCGUGGGUAGCAAACAGGAUUAGAUACCCCAGUAGUC